UACGUAGGUGGCGAGCGUUGUCCGGAUUUACUGGGCGUAAAGCGCGCGUAGGUGGCCUGCCAAGUCUGGGGUGAAAUCUCUCGGCUUAACCGGGAGGGGUCUUCAGAUACUGGUGGGCUUGAGGGCAGCAGAGGUCGGUGGAAUUCCCGGUGGAGUGGUGAAAUGCGUAGAUAUCGGGAGGAACACCAGUGGCGAAGGCGGCCGACUGGGCUGUCCCUGACACUGAGGUGCGAAAGCGUGGGGAGCGAACCGG
This 253-nucleotide ribosomal RNA is filed under the name uncultured bacterium. RNAcentral's name for it is "partial 16S ribosomal RNA". It matches the Rfam family "Bacterial small subunit ribosomal RNA", at positions 524 to 776 of the family's 1533-position model. The record is from RNAcentral.